GUUUCUUUGAGGAAGAAAUCCUCAAGAGAUAUGCUGGAACCUAUGUCAGACAGGUGUUUCUGGGAACACAUUGUUUCUUUCAAGACAAUGACCCAAAACACAAUGCCGCCCGGGUUUGCAUUGCAAAUGAGGGCUUAAACUGGGUCAAGACGCCAGCAGAGUAUCCUGAUUUAAACCCGAUCGAACUUGUUUGGCAUCAACUGGAAACAUCCAUCCAUAACUCUGCCAAGCCGAUCAGCAAAGAUGAACAGGUCAAGGCCAUCACGAUGUUUCAGCUAGAGAAAUUGACGAUACAACAAUACAACAAAUACAUUGAUCAUCUCAUUAGGGUUUUACCUGUGGUCGUGGAGCUGGGUGUAAGUGCGACUAAAAUGUAGUUUAUAUAAACAUCCGCAUUUGAAUGUCUUAUUUCUCAUUAUUUUAUUAACAAAAGCAUAAAGAUGUUGCUGACUAAAUACUGUACUGCUGCUUUGAGUUAGAAAUGUAACACUUUAGAGU
Long non-coding RNA from Salvelinus fontinalis (brook trout), 498 nucleotides. RefSeq lists it as uncharacterized. The record is from RefSeq and is a predicted model, not a curated record. Lineage: Eukaryota; Metazoa; Chordata; Actinopteri; Salmoniformes; Salmonidae. The transcript has 3 exons.